Molecule: small nuclear RNA, 104 nt
Organism: Microtus ochrogaster (prairie vole)
Lineage: Eukaryota; Metazoa; Chordata; Mammalia; Rodentia; Cricetidae
Source: Ensembl
AUGCCUGGUUCAGAGGCACAUAUACUAAAAUUGAAACAGAAAAGAGAUUAGCAUGGCCCCCGUGCAAGGAUGACAUGCAAAUUCCUGAAACACUCCAAAAUGUU